Molecule: ribosomal RNA, 484 nt
Filed under: uncultured bacterium
Lineage: Bacteria
Description: partial 16S ribosomal RNA
Rfam family: Bacterial small subunit ribosomal RNA
Source: RNAcentral
AUUGAACGCUGGCGGCAGGCCUAACACAUGCAAGUCGAGCGGAUGAAGGGAGCUUGCUCCUGGAUUCAGUGGCGGACGGGUGAGUAAUGCCUAGGAAUCUGCCUGGUAGUGGGGGAUAACGUCCGGAAACGGGCGCUAAUACCGCAUACGUCCUGAGGGAGAAAGUGGGGGAUCUUCGGACCUCACGCUAUCAGAUGAGCCUAGGUCGGAUUAGCUAGUUGGUGGGGUAAAGGCCUACCAAGGCGACGAUCCGUAACUGGUCUGAGAGGAUGAUCAGUCACACUGGAGCUGAGACACGGUCCAGACUCCUACGGGAGGCAGCAGUGGGGAAUAUUGGACAAUGGGCGAAAGCCUGAUCCAGCCAUGCCGCGUGUGUGAAGAAGGUCUUCGGAUUGUAAAGCACUUUAAGUUGGGAGGAAGGGCAGUAAGUUAAUACCUUGCUGUUUUGACGUUACCAACAGAAUAAGCACCGGCUAACUUCGUG